CUCAGAUUGAACGCUGGCGGAACGCUUUACACAUGCAAGUCGAACGGUAACGCGGGGAGGAGCUUGCUCCACCCCGGCGACGAGUGGCGAACGGGUGAGUAAUACAUCGGAACGUGUCCGCUCGUGGGGGACAACCAGCCGAAAGGUUGGCUAAUACCGCAUGAGUUCUACGGAAGAAAGAGGGGGACCCGCAAGGGCCUCUCGCGAGCGGAGCGGCCGAUGACUGAUUAGCCGGUUGGUGAGGUAACGGCUCACCAAAGCAACGAUCAGUAGCUGGUCUGAGAGGACGACCAGCCACACUGGGACUGAGACACGGCCCAAACUCCUACGGGAGGCAGCAGUGGGGAAUAUUGGACAAUGGGGGGAACCCUGAUCCAGCGACGCCGCGUGAGUGAAGAAGUAUUUCGGUAUGUAAAGCUCUAUCAGCAGGGAAGAAAGAAAUGACGGUACCUGACUAAGAAGCCCCGGCUAACUACGUGCCAGCAGCCGCGGUAAUACGUAGGGGGCAAGCGUUAUCCGGAUUUACUGGGUGUAAAGGGAGCGUAGACGGCGAUGCAAGUCUGAAGUGAAAGGCGGGGGCCCAACCCCCGGACUGCUUUGGAAACUGUAUAGCUGGAGUGCANGAGAGGUAAGUGGAUUCCNUAGUGUAG
RNAcentral lists this ribosomal RNA (650 nucleotides) under uncultured bacterium. Its description in RNAcentral is "bacterial SSU rRNA". It matches the Rfam family "Bacterial small subunit ribosomal RNA", at positions 23 to 678 of the family's 1533-position model. The record is from RNAcentral.